RNAcentral lists this ribosomal RNA (253 nucleotides) under uncultured bacterium. RNAcentral describes it as "partial 16S ribosomal RNA". It matches the Rfam family "Bacterial small subunit ribosomal RNA", at positions 524 to 776 of the family's 1533-position model. The record is from RNAcentral.
UACGUAGGGGGCAAGCGUUGUCCGGAUUCAUUGGGCGUAAAGCGCGUGUAGGCGGCUUUGCAAGUCGGGUGUGAAAGCCCUCGGCUCAACCGAGGAAGUGCGCCCGAAACUGCAGAGCUUGAGUACCGGAGAGGAUGGCGGAAUUCCCCAAGUAGAGGUGAAAUUCGUAGAUAUGGGGAGGAACACCGGUGGCGAAGGCGGCCAUCUGGACGGAUACUGACGCUGAGACGCGAAAGCGUGGGGAGCAAACAGG